Molecule: ribosomal RNA, 253 nt
Filed under: uncultured bacterium
Lineage: Bacteria
Description: partial 16S ribosomal RNA
Rfam family: Bacterial small subunit ribosomal RNA
Source: RNAcentral
UACGUAGGGACCGAGCGUUGUCCGGAAUCAUUGGGCGUAAAGAGUGUGUAGGCGGUGCUCUAAGUUCGGUGUGAAAUCUCCCGGCUCAACUGGGAGGGUGCGCCGAAAACUGGGGUGCUGGAGCGCGGGAGAGGAAAGCGGAAUUCCUGGUGUAGCGGUGAAAUGCGCAGAUAUCAGGAAGAACACCCGCGGCGAAGGCGGCUCUCUGGAACGCAACUGACGCUGAGACGCGAAAGCGUGGGGAGCGAACAGG